Oncorhynchus tshawytscha (Chinook salmon) is the source of this 3886-nucleotide long non-coding RNA. NCBI's taxonomy places the organism in Eukaryota, Metazoa, Chordata, Actinopteri, Salmoniformes, Salmonidae. The record is from Ensembl.
UAGUAUUAAAACAUGUUUAUUUGGAUUAAAAAGCCUGUAUGGAACAUCCAGUUAUACAGUAUGUAACGACACAAAGCAGGUAAACGCAGAGAGAAAGAAAACCAACCUCCACUUAAGUCACAUUUGACUUGACACCCCCAUUAGAAAGUGACCACUAGGUUACCUUAUGAAAUUCAGGAUCAGGUAAAGUACCAGGUUAAAAACAAAAGAAAUACAACAUCACUGGGAUGGUUUAACAGACCUUCAGAAAAUGGCAAUUGAACUGCACCCCCAUUGGGUACACUCAAGGCACGGCACCACCCGUCACAUACCCGAAUGUGGAUGACCAUUCUAGUAAUUCUAUUUCUACGGUUGAAAAGCACUGUGCUGUAAGGCUGGCUUGCUGCUGACAUUCUGAUACUGGGAUAGAUUCAACAGGAUUCAGCAAACGGUUUCACAUGUAGAAUUACAACGGCUGCCAUUUUGGCACCAAAGUAAAGUACUGAGAUGUAAUAUGGAGGGUAGUUUGGUGUCUAUGGAGGGUAGUUUGGUGUCUAUGGAGGGUAGUUUGGUGUCAAUAUGGAGGGUAGUUUGGUGUCAAUAUGGAGGGUAGUUUGGUGUCAAUAUGGAGGGUAUUUGGUGUCCUAUGGAGGGUAGUUUGGUGUCUAUGGAGGGUAGUUUGGUGUCUAUGGAGGAUAGUUUGGUGUCUAUGGAGGAUAGUUUGUGUCAAUAUGGAGGGUAGUUUGGUGUCUAUGGAGGGUAGUUUGGUGUCUAUGGAGGGUAGUUUGGUGUCAAUAUGGAGGGUAGUUUGGUGUCUAUGGAGGGGUAGUUUGGUGUCAAUAUGGAGGGUAGUUUGGUGUCUAUGGAGGGUAGUUUGGUGUCUAUGGAGGGUAGUUUGGUGUCUAUGGAGGGUAGUUUGGUGUCUAUGGAGGGUAGUUUGGUGUCUAUGGAGGAUAGUUUGGUGUCAAUAUGGAGGGUAGUUUGGUGUCAAUAUGGAGGGUAGUUUGGUGUCAAUAUGGAGGAUAGUUUGGUGUCAAUAUGGAGGGUAGUUUGGUGUCAAUAUGGAGGGUAGUUUGGUGUCUAUGGAGGGUAGUUUGGUGUCUAUGGAGGGCAGUUUGGUGUCACUAUGGAGGACAGUGUGGUGUCAUUAUGGAGGGCAGUGUGGUGUCAAUAUGGAGGACAAUUUGGUGUCAAUGUGGAGGGUAGUUUGUCACUGUGGAUGGUAGUUUGGUGUCUGGAGGACAGUGUGGUGUCAAUAUGGAGGACAAUUUGGUGUCAAUGUGGAGGGUAGUUUGGUGUCAAUAUGGAUGGUAGUUUGGUGUCAAUAUGGAUGGUCGUUUGGUGUCAAUAUAGAGGGUAGUUUGUCACUGGAUGGUAGUUUGGUGUCUGGAAGGUAGUGUGGUGUCAAUGUGGAGAGUAGUGUGGUGUCAAUGUGGAGAGUAGUGUGGUGUCAAUGUGGAGGGUAGUGUGGUGUCAAUGUGGAGGGUAGUGUGGUGUCAAUGCGGAGGGUAGUGUGGUGUCAAUGCGGAGGGUAGUGUGGUGUCAAUGCGGAGGGUAGUGUGGUGUCAAUGCGGAGGGUAGUUUGGUGUCAAUACGGAGGGUAGUGUGGUGUCAAUGCGGAGGGUAGUUUGGUGUCAAUGCGGAGGGUAGUUUGGUGUCAAUACGGAGGGUAGUGUGGUGUCAAUACGGAGGGUAGUGUGGUGUCAAUGCGGAGGGUAGUGUGGUGUCAAUACGGAGGGUAGUUUGGUGUCAAUGCGGAGGGUAGUGUGGUGUCAAUGUGGAGGGUAGUGUGGUGUCAAUGUGGAGGGUAGUGUGGUGUCAAUGUGGAGGGUAGUUUGGUGUCAAUGUGGAGGGUAGUUUGGUGUCAUUGUGGAGGACAGUGUGGUGUCAAUAUGGAGGGUAGUUUGGUGUCAAUGUGGAGGGUAGUUUGCCAAACUGUUUUCGAUCUAUUCCUUAUCAUACUGAGAUGUAAACAGAAUGCUCAUCAACCACAUCAGUACUACAACACAUACUCAUUCAUUCGCUUAACAAACACUUUCUCAGUCCCUGUACCUCACACACCCACACAGACCUGCUAUAUACACAGUGGACAAAACAUUAGGAACACCUUCCUAACAUUCAAUUGCACCCCCCUCUUGCCCUCAGAAUGGCCUCAAUUCGUCAGGUUAUGGACUCUACGGAAAGCGUUCCACAGUGAUGCUGGCCCAUGUUGACUCCAAUGCUUCCCACAGUUGUGUGAAGUUGGUUGGACCUCCUUUGCUUGGUGGACCAUUCUUAAUACAAACAGGAAACGGUUGAGCGUGAAAAAGCAGCGUUGGAAGUUCUUGACACAAACCGGUGCGCCUGGCACCUACUACCAUACUGUUCAAAGGCAAUUCAAUAUUUAGUCUUGUCCGUUCACCUUCUGAAUGGCACUGAUACACCAAGGCUCAAGAAUCCUUCUCUAAUCUGAAUCCUUCUUUAAUCUGAAUCCUUCUUUAAUCUGUAUCCUUCUCUUCAUCUACACUUGACUAAAGUGGAUUUCGAAUCGAUAAAAACAUCAUAGGUUUUACCUGGAUUCAGCAAUGCUUUUUAUACUCGGUGUAUAUUCACUCCACAUGCUGUUCUGUUACAGAUGGAAUUUAAAAUGGAUUCAAUUGAGAUUUUGUCACUGGACUACACACAAUACCCCAUAAUGUCAAAGUGGAAAUAUGUUGUUUUUUUUAGAAAUGUUUACAAAUGAAUAAAAAAUGAAAAGCUGAAAUGUCUUGAGUCAAUAAGUUUUCAACCCCUUUGUUAUGGGAAGUCUAAAUAAGUUCAGGAGUAAACGUGUGCUUAACAAGUCACAUAAUAAGUUGCAUGGACUCACUCUGUGUUCAAUAAUAGUGUUUAACGUGAUUUUUGAAUGACUACCUCAUCUCUGUACCCCACAUACACAAUUAUCUGUAAGGUCUCUCAGUUGAGCAGUGAAUUUCAAACACAGAUUCAACCACAAAGACCAGGGAGGUUUUCCACAGCCUCGCAAAGAAGGGCCAGAGGGAAAAGAAGGACGCAUGUACAGAAUACAAAUAUUCCAAACCAAGGCACUUAAGUAAAACGGCAAAAAAUGUGUCAAAGACAUGAACUUUUUGUCCUGAAUACAAAGCAUUAUGUUUGGGGAAAUACAACACAUUACAGAGUACCACUCUUCAUAUUUUGAAGCAUGGUGGUGGCUGCAUCAUGUUAUGGGUAUGCUUGAAAUCCUUUAGGACUAGGUAGUUUUUCAGGAUAAAAAAGAAAUGGAAUUGAGCUAAACACAGGCAAAAUCCUAGAGGAAAACCUGGUUCAGUCUGCUUUCCAACAGACACUGGGAGAUGAAAUCACCUUUCAGCAGGACAAUAACCUAAAACAUAAGGCCAUUUACACACUGGAGUUGCUUACCAAGACGUCAUGGAAUGUUCCUGAAUGGCCUAGUUACAGUUUUGAUUGAAUCCUGUUCUUGAUAUAGAUUUUCAAAUAAAUUUGUCUAGCAAUGAUCAACAACCAAUUUGACUGAGCUUAAAGAAUUUUGAAAAUUAUAAAUGGGCAAAUGUUACACAAUCCACAUGUGGAAAGCUCUUAGAGAUUUACCCAGAAAGACUCAUAGCUCUUAGAGAUUUACCCAGAAAGACUCACUGUCAGUGGUGCUUCUACAAAGUAUUGACUCAGGGGUGUAAAUACUUAUGUAAAUUAGAUAUUUCUGCAUUUCAUUUUCAAUAAAUUUGCAAACAUUUCUAAGAACAUGUUUUCACUUCGUCAUUAUGGGCUAUUGUAUGUAGAUCUGUGAGAAAAAGAAACUAUUUAAUCAAUUUUGAAUUCAGGCUGUAAAACAAAAUAUGGAAUAAGUCAAGGGGUAUGAAUAUUUUCUGAAGGCACAUAUUCAAAGAUACACUACAUUAUUCAAAGUAUG